AACGCGAAGAACCUUACCUGGGCUUGAACCGCACAGGACCAUCUUUAGAAAUAGAGACUUCCCGCAAGGGACCUGUGUAGAGGUGCUGCAUGGCUGUCGUCAGCUCGUGCCGUGAGGUGUUGGGUUAAGUCCCGCAACGAGCGCAACCCUUACUCGUAGUUGCCACCCGCAAGGGGGAACUCUACGAGGACUGCUCCGGAUAACGGAGAGGAAGGUGGGGAUGAGGUCAAGUCAGCAUGGCCUUUAUGUCCAGGGCUACACACGUGCUACAAUGGAAGGGACAACGAGUCGCGAACCCGCGAGGGCAAGCUAAUCUCACAAACCCUUUCUCAGUUCGGAUUGAAGGCUGCAACUCGCCUUCAUGAAGUCGGAAUCGCUAGUAACCGUAGAUCAGCUACGCUGCGGUGAAUACGUUCCCGGGCCUUGUACACACCGAUAGC
Molecule: ribosomal RNA, 440 nt
Filed under: uncultured bacterium
Lineage: Bacteria
Description: bacterial SSU rRNA
Rfam family: Bacterial small subunit ribosomal RNA
Source: RNAcentral